RNAcentral lists this ribosomal RNA (412 nucleotides) under uncultured bacterium. RNAcentral describes it as "bacterial SSU rRNA". It matches the Rfam family "Bacterial small subunit ribosomal RNA", at positions 29 to 429 of the family's 1533-position model. The record is from RNAcentral.
AAUCAACGCUGGCGGCGUGCCUAACACAUGCAAGUCGAACGCGAAGGUCCCGCAAGGGAUUGGUAGCGUGGCAAACGGGUGAGUAACACGUGGGUGACCUGCCUUCGAGUGGGGGAUAACGUCCCGAAAGGGACGCUAAUACCGCAUGACAUCCUGCCUUUGAAGAGGCGGAGAUCAAAGCCGGGGAUCGCAAGACCUGGCGCUUGAAGAGGGGCCCGCGCCUGAUUAGCAGUUGGUGGGGUAAUGGCUCACCAAGGCAACGAUCAGUAUCCGGCCUGAGAGGGCGGACGGACACACUGGGACUGAGACACGGCCCAGACUCCUACGGGAGGCAGCAGGUGGGAAUUGUUCGCAAUGGGCGCAAGCCUGACGACGCAACGCCGCGUGGAGGACGAAGACCUUCGGUCGUAAC